RNAcentral lists this ribosomal RNA (253 nucleotides) under uncultured bacterium. RNAcentral's name for it is "partial 16S ribosomal RNA". It matches the Rfam family "Bacterial small subunit ribosomal RNA", at positions 524 to 776 of the family's 1533-position model. The record is from RNAcentral.
UACGUAGGGAGCAAGCGUUGUCCGGAAUCAUUGGGCGUAAAGCGCGCGUAGGCGGCCUCAUAAGUCCGUUGUGAAAGUCAAAGGCUCAACCUUUGAAAGCCGAUGGAUACUGUGAGGCUAGAGUCCGGAAGAGGCGAGUGGAAUUCCUGGUGUAGCGGUGGAAUGCGCAGAUAUCAGGAGGAACACCAAUAGCGAAGGCAGCUCGCUGGGACGGUACUGACGCUAAGGCGCGAAAGCUAGGGGAGCGAACAGG